UACGUAGGGUGCGAGCGUUGUCCGGAAUCAUUGGGCGUAAAGAGCUCGUAGGCGGCCUGUCGCGUCGGCUGUGAAAACCCGGGGCUCAACCUCGGGCCUGCAUUCGAUACGGGCAGGCUGGAGUUCGGCAGGGGAGACUGGAAUUCCUGGUGUAGCGGUGAAAUGCGCAGAUAUCGGGAGGAACACCAGUGGCGAAGGCGAUCACCUGGGGUUGUUCUGACGCUGAGGCACGAAAGCCAGGGGAGCGAACGGG
This 253-nucleotide ribosomal RNA is filed under the name uncultured bacterium. RNAcentral's name for it is "partial 16S ribosomal RNA". It matches the Rfam family "Bacterial small subunit ribosomal RNA", at positions 524 to 776 of the family's 1533-position model. The record is from RNAcentral.